RNA transcript from Amphiprion ocellaris (clown anemonefish), 6765 nucleotides. It is a transcript of the gene named sodium- and chloride-dependent betaine transporter-like, with no coding region annotated. The transcript has 19 exons. The record is from RefSeq and is a predicted model, not a curated record. Lineage: Eukaryota; Metazoa; Chordata; Actinopteri; Pomacentridae.
CAGUCAUCAUUUGAGAAUCGGUGUUCAGAGAGGAUUGUCAAUUCACUGCAUUUGUUUUUACAUUUGGUGCUUUUUAAAGACUGCGGCUUUUUUCUGCACUCAUGCACAGUUGGCUUUACCACAUGUAGUCUAUUUUUCAGAUUGCACCUGUGGAUCACCAAAUCUUACUGAAGCUGGUAAAGAAUAUUCCAGUACACUAGUCUAAAUGGAGCUGACAGCUAAUCCAGAGAAGAAGCUGAUGAAUGAUGGCACGAUUGCCAAUUGUCCACCAUCGAAGUGUAAUGAGAGAGGCCAGUGGGCCAAUAAGAGUGAAUUUAUUUUAUCAGUAGUUGGAGAAAUCAUUGGUCUGGGCAACGUUUGGAGGUUUCCAUAUCUGUGCUUCAAGAAUGGAGGAGGAGCUUUCUUGAUCCCCUAUGUGUUGACUUUGGUCUCUUGUGGAAUCCCCAUUUUCUUCCUGGAGGUGUCUGUGGGACAGUUAACUGGUCAGGGUGGAGUCACAUGUUGGAGGAAAAUAUGUCCUUUAUUUGAAGGUUUAGGCUAUGGCAAUAUAAUGAUUGCACUUUACACGUUGAUGUACUACAUCAUCAUUCUGGCUUGGGCCUUCCUCUACUUAUUCUCCUCCUUCCACACUGUGCUGCCCUGGGCCAGCUGCAACAACACCUGGAACACAGAGAACUGCGUUGAUUAUGGCCAGAAUGAUUCAUUUUAUGGCACUGCCAAUCACAAUACAACAUCUUCAGUUCAAGAAUUCUGGCAGAGGAGAGUUCUGGGUUUGUCUGGAGGCAUUGAGGAGAUGGGUAAUAUGCGCUGGGACCUGGCUGGGUGUCUUCUACUGGGCUGGGUUAUCUGUUACUUUUGUAUCUGGAAAGGAGUCAAGACAUCAGGAAAGGUCGUCUAUUUCACAGCCACUUUCCCCUACGUGAUGCUGAUUGCGUUGCUGAUCCGAGGUGCGACAUUGCCAGGAGCUGCAGAUGGAAUUCGAUUUUACCUUUCCCCUGAUCUAACACGUCUAACUGAUCCUCAGGUGUGGAUGGAUGCUGGAAGCCAGAUAUUCUUCUCCUAUGCUGUCUGCUCAGGCUCUCUGCCGUCUUUGGGAAGUUACAAUAAAUACAACAACAACUGCUACAAAGACACUUUUGCCUUGUGCACACUAAACAGUUUAACCAGCUUUGUUGCUGGAUUUGCAGUCUUCUCCAUCCUUGGCUUCAUGUCGUAUGAGUUGGGCGUCGACAUCUCCACAGUGGCUGAAUCAGGUCCCGGCCUUGCUUUCAUUGCUUAUCCUCGAGCAGUUGCCUUGAUGCCUUUACCACAACUCUGGGCUGCCUUCUUUUUCAUCAUGAUAGUCUUACUUGGACUGGACAGUCAGUUUAUGUAUCUGGAGGGUGCGGUUACAUCCGUAUCAGAUAUGUAUCUGUCAUUCUUUUUCACUGGUCACCGACGUAAACUACUUCUGCUGCUCAUCUGUCUUGUCUGCUUAGUUACUGGCCUGUUUAUGGUCACUGAGGGAGGACUUUAUGUAUUUCUCCUGUUUGACUACUACGCUUGCAGUGGAAUGCCAAUCAUGUUUUUCGGCAUUUUGGAGACCGUUUGUGUGGGAUGGGUAUUUGGUGCUGAUCGUUAUUAUGGAAAAAUAAAGGAAAUGAUUGGUUACCGCCCCUCACCUUAUAUGAAGUACUGUUGGAGGUUCUUGACACCAUCUGUCUGCAUUGGAAUACUGCUCUUCUCUCUUGUGAGGUUCACCCCUCUGAGAUACAAUAACACCUAUAUAUAUCCCGACUGGGGCUAUGCCAUUGGGAUAUUUCUUGCGUUAUCGUCAGUUCUUCUGACUCCUCUGUAUUUUCUCUACGUUAUGGCUGUAACCCCAGGAACAAUGAGACAGAGACUGACAACAUUAUGCACUCCAGCGGCUGAGCUCCUUCAUCCAAGGAAAACUCCUUACCAAGAACCACCUCUGUUUGAUAGUGUGUGCUCUGAACAGGACUGAGAAACCCAAAGAAGCUGGUCUUGUUUUGCGCUGUGGCAGACCUGAUGAAAGCAUCAAUAAACAGGAGUCUAAGGCCUGACCUGCAGUUUAUUCUCAACACACAACAUGGUCUAUUUGAAGCUUUGCUGGAAUGGAUACAAAACAAUAUGUCACAGCGCAAAAGAUGAUUUUUAAAAAUAUUUUUCUGCCUAUCAAAGAGAAAGAAGAAAAGUGAUUUUGAUUGAGUUUCUUUGUGUAAAUUGCGGGUUAACUCACAUACGGAAUAAGACAAGAUCCUUUACUGCUCCUCACGUCAGGGGAAAUUUCCAGUGUUACAGCGGCAACAUCUUUCAAAGCAGCACUAACCACAUUUACAGUAAUAAUAAUAAUUAUAUUAACAAUAAUAUAUACAAUAUAUACAAGAAUGAAAAAUAAAUAAAUACAGUAUUGCUAUAAUUGACAUCAGCAUAAAGUGGCUUGUGGAAUAAAUAUAACUGUAAAAGUGCAAAAUGCCAGCAGUGCAAAGAAUUGUUGUACAGAGUUUACCAUGGUUAAAAAUAAUGAUAUAGUCCAGUUUAUGUUAACAUCAGCCAGUGAUGCUGAUGUUGUAAAGUCUUACAGCAGAUGGAAUGAAGGACCUGCGAUAGCGCUCUUUCUUGCAGGGUGGAUGUCUCAGUCUGCUGCUGAAGGAGCUGCUUAAAGACCCCACAGUGUCAUGCAGUGGGUGAGAGGGAUUGUCCAUGAUGGAUGUGAGCUUUGCCAACAUCCUCCUCUCACCCACCUCCUCUAUGGAGUCCAGGGAACAGUCCAGGACAGAACCUCCUCCUGACCAGUCUGUUCAGUCUCUUUCUGUCCACUGAUGUUAACAAAAUUUUCUUAUAAUUAAUGUAUAAGUAACAGGUUUAUAAAAUAGAUUGAAACUGAAGACAUUUUAAAUAUACAUCAUGCAUGUCAGCUGUACAUUUGGUAACUUUUCUCUUGACUCUAUCAGCAGCCUGUCCACUGGCUAUUCCUUCUUGUUAUUGAAGUGCAGUGUGAAGAACUCUGGUGAAAACUAGAAAACUAUGUUCUUUGCCUUCUUAGCAUGACCAUAUGGGAUUACUUACAGGCUAGAGGACACAGUAGCGAAAUAAGAAUUGAAAUCCAGCGCUGGAUUUUUUUUUUGUUGUUGUUUUUUUUAACCUUGAAACAGCCAUGUACCUGCAGUGUACGGAUUCAGACUUCAGAGGCUUCAUUAAAGCUUAAUGGUCUGACAAUCAUAACACCUGCAUGUAUCAAGAGUAGUAUAAUCACCUAACUCCUGCUGUGUCUGAAUGUUGUUGUUACGUCUAUAAUUGUCUGUAGUCUUAAUGUAUUCCAGAGGCAGCUAGCACAAUGAGCAGAAAAACUAAAUGUUGCAUCAUAUCUUGCCUUGUGUUACUUCUGUGACUCAAUCACAGAAAUAAGGAGAUUACAGUUAUUACUUAAUAUUAGAUAGGUUGGAGAGAUUGGGCCUUAAGCUAAAAUUUAUGUUUAAUUUAUAAUAUGUACAUUAUUGCAUUGCUGCUCUGCAAUCUUGAGAUAAAAUGAUGUUGUCAGCUUGUACGGUGUAUCCAUUCUCACCAACGUCAUGGUCUGUCUAUCUUUUUAUGCAAAACCUUUUCUCCAAGUAUGUGGUCAGGUUUAAUAAGUACUGGUGAAUAGUUGUGCAGUCCAACAGACCUGUUUUUUCAAGACCCCAGCAACAGUGACCAAAGUUAUCUCUGUACCAACAUGUAGUUUAACUACUGCCAAAGUGAUUGUCUUGAACUGAAAAAUUUGAAUCAAAUGAAGUACUUGGAGUCCACCAUGUUUCUACUGUUCAGAUAAUAGUCAAAGGUUCUGAGAUGGUCCUCAUGAACCACUUCACAAGAGCUCUGCAGCAAAAUUUGUUACAAGAUUGUCUCGUUAUCUCCAGUGAAACAGUGACGUUUGCCCCAGAAUCAGAAGACUGCACAAGGACAAUGAGUUAAUUUUACACUUUUCUAACACUGGUGAAACAGUUACAAAGACUAUGACUCAGCGGAAGUGAACCCGUGUUCCCACCAAAACUGUGCAAACGAGUAAACUGAAUACCUUAUGACCUCAAAACAUAAGACACUCCAAAGACGCUACAAAAAAAGAGGAUUAUUUUAUUCCAUCAACACUGAACUGUGUUGUUCUAAAACCUUAAAACUAGGGGAGGAAAUACAGAUAAAUAAAAUUACAUCUUUAAUAAUUAAUUUUAACCUAUGCUACUUUAUGUAUAUGCAAUAAUACCUUUAUAAUGUAAUAUGAUAGUUUUAAGUUUAAGGCUUGUUUCAGUGCCCUGAGUCAUUGAGUGAUGUACAGCAGGACAGACUGCUACAAGUAAGAAAAAUAAACAUUUAUCCUCUCUAUUAUACUUAGUCUGCUUUUUGAUUUAGUAUACAUGUCAUUUUUUCUUUUUUUACAGGGAUGCAUUUGUUGCUGUUUUUUCUGUCUUCUCUGUGCCACAUUUCGUGUCAUAAAUAAGUUAUGCAUCAGAUCUGACUUUGCAUUUUGUGUUGCCUCUUGUGUGGUUGAUCACAAGCUGAGACCUGUUUCUCUGCCACAGGGGUAAAUUGCACAACAGUAAAAGGUCAAAACUUGGAACACCAACUCAAGACAUAUAGUGAAUUAACUAGCCAAUGUAUUGGCUACAAAGCUUCAUCUAGUUUGGCAUUUAUUUUCCACUACUUGCAGAUCCUGGCUUAAUGUACAAACUUGUUGCAGAAAGGUUCCAAGUAAUCAUGUUGUAGUCAUAUAUUAAAUUAUUACUUUACCUAAAACACAUAAUUUUAGAAUGAAGAAAUGUUUUACUUCUGACAGUUUUGAACACUCUUAAGGGAUUAGUAACAUAUUUAAAGGCGUGUGUAAUGAAUUGUAGUUGUUACGACUCAUUGAAUAUUGCAGCAGUUUGCUUAACGACAAGCAUUGUAUGUACAUUACAACCACUGUUCCCUCUAAACUGCGCGCCUGCGCAAUUGCGCACUGCUGACACGGUCUCCGUGCACAGAAAAUCUAAGCUGCGCACAAAAAAAAAUCCAACCUAAAUUGAAAAUAAAAUAAACACGUAACAAUUCAUUCUGUGCUAUUUUUCAAUGUGAGUCAGUGAGUGACCGGUGACUGGCUGCUGCAGCCAAUGAUGCGAUUCACAUACGUAUUUACCAUAGACUGUAUAUAAUGGUAUUUACGCAGCUAAUCAACGUCAUGGCGUCCUUAUGUGCAGCCAUCGUUGUUCUCAUAGGUAUGAAUGAGUAGAUAGGACACGCCCCUUUGAGCUGCGUGCUACAGCGAGGCUAAGCUAGUGGGGGCAAAGUUUCAGUGCAUUCCGUUGAUGUAGACAGCGUGAAAACGGAAACAACAAGUAUGCCGGCUCACUGUGCUGCAUACAAUUACACACUGCGUCGUACGAUUGAGACAAGGAAACUUGGAAUGACUUUUCAUAGGUUUCCCAGAGACUAUGGGUUGAGGAGGAAGUGGAAGUUUGUCGGCUUAGACCUGGUGUCAUUCCAUCAGUGUUAAACUUCCCGGCUCAUCUUGGAAGAGUACGUACCAGAAAGACCACGACCAAGCAGCCUUGAGAUCUGAGGCAGCGUCUCCCUGAGGUCCCUCUCUAUCUCCCCACACAUCCACCAACCACUGGAACACAUCUCCAAAGUUCUGCCGGGCCAGCUCAGCUUCCCCUCAGAAGAAGUGCCGCCACCUGCCAGAUGAAGGAGCCUUUUGAGAGGCAGCUGGCAUCGUGAUUGGACUGUACUUUGGUCUGUUCCAAUCCAGCUUCAGCUCCAGAGACGGCAGGCGGGACGAGUCAACGGAGGCCGGGUGGACGAAGGCAUGCAGCUGAGUACAAUCCAGAAAACAACAGAGGAGGAGUGCAGCUGCCCAGAGCCAGAACAACCAGAGUAGCAUGACCAAAGAACUACAGACUCUUCACAACCUGCUCAAACUCUUGGUACAGGACCUCACCACACGGGUCAAGAAGGUUUCUGUCUCAUUUCUACUCUGAAGAUCACCUUCUCCUGCUCAAACUGCUGACAAAUGUUUCUGCUGCUCUAAAGUCUGCUCUCCAGAACUUCCUAAAAACUCUCAAAGUCUCUUCUGCUGCAGGUUGCUUUGUAGAACUGUUGCAGAAACCUCUACUAAACCACAUGGAGGGGCCUCAAGAUAGUCGUCCAAAUGAAACCAUACAAAAACCAAACUAGCACAACCCAAACGCUAAAGUCUCCUGCAGCCUACCAGAGAACCUCUGAGAACAGAGAAUCAGGACAGGAACUCUUACCUUCUGGACAACCAACGCUGGUUCACAAACAAGAAUACAGAAUGUGUCUGACCAAAAACCUCUGAAGACUCACUACAGCCAAGAUAAAGACACAACUCAGCUGCACCAAAUCCACUAAUCACUGCACACAUUAGCACCAUGUGCUAACUGUGGCUAAAGAACCACAUUUACCAAGACAACUAUCCAGUACAAAGCCCUAAAACACACCAAGAAACACAUUAAAGUCGAUUUUACUGCUGGAAGCUGCAAGCCAACGCCUAAAGAACAAACUAAAGCAACGGAGCCAAACCCAGUUCAGUGGUGAAGAGAAGCAGAGGAAAUGUUUGUCUGCAGCUAAAUAAAGCAGGAAGACACUGAGCUGCUCAGGUGUUCCUGAUAACACCAAGCAGCCACCUGGACAGCCAAUAGGAACACAGCUUACUGGAAGUCCAGAGGGCUGGGUUAGUGAAGGAAAUUUAAUUUAAAGUUGAAGCAGAAAGUUAACAAAGAAAGUUGAAAACCA